AGCAGUCGCCGCGGGAAUACAGAGGGUGCAAGCGUUAAUCGGAAUUACUGGGCGUAAAGCGCACGCAGGCGGUCUGUCAAGUCAGAUGUGAAAUCCCCGGGCUUAACCUGGGAACUGCAUUUGAAACUGGCAGGCUAGAGUCUUGUAGAGGGGGGUAGAAUUCCAGGUGUAGCGGUGAAAUGCGUAGAGAUCUGGAGGAAUACCGGUGGCGAAGGCGGCCCCCUGGACAAAGACUGACGCUCAGGUGCGAAAGCGUGGGGAGCAAACAGGAUUAGAUACCCCUGUAGUCCCUGUCUCUUAUAC
This 303-nucleotide ribosomal RNA is filed under the name uncultured bacterium. RNAcentral describes it as "partial 16S ribosomal RNA". It matches the Rfam family "Bacterial small subunit ribosomal RNA", at positions 507 to 807 of the family's 1533-position model. The record is from RNAcentral.